AUGAACGCUGGCGGCGUGUCUAAGGCAUGCAAGUCGAACGAACAUAUUUGUGAUUAUAUCAAUGUUAUGUUAGUGGCAAACGGGUGAGUAACACAUUAGUAACCUACCUCGAAAACGAGAAUAACCCCGCGAAAGCGGGACUAAUACUCGAUAUGUUAAGUCGAUCAAUUCGAUUUAAUAAAGCUACGGCGCUUUGAGAGGGGCUUAUGCAUCAUCAGCUAGUUGGUAGGGUAAUGGCCUACCAAGGCUACGACAAUUAGCGGGGGUGGGAGCACGACCCGCCUCACUGGGACUGAGACACUGCCCAGACUCCUACGGGAGGCUGCAGUCGAGAAUCUUCCCCAAUGCGCGCAAGCGUGAGGGAGCGACGCCGCGUGAUCGAAGAAGCCCUUCGGGGUGGAAAGAUCUUUUAUUUGGGACGAACUUAUGACGGUACCAAAUGAAUAAGGGGCUGCUAACUCUGU
Molecule: ribosomal RNA, 464 nt
Filed under: uncultured bacterium
Lineage: Bacteria
Description: bacterial SSU rRNA
Rfam family: Bacterial small subunit ribosomal RNA
Source: RNAcentral